Molecule: unclassified non-coding RNA, 488 nt
Filed under: Hevea brasiliensis (rubber tree)
Lineage: Eukaryota; Viridiplantae; Streptophyta; Magnoliopsida; Malpighiales; Euphorbiaceae
Source: RNAcentral
AUGGGGUCAAUCAGUUUCCCUGCACACAUUGCUGAGAAAACCUUGUCAAACUCUUCGCCGGGCGAGCGAACCGUCUCGCCGGUUAGCAAACCAGUACCCAAUUCUUCCCUAACAAACUUGUAUAAUGGGUAUGACCUGCAUUCUUUGAUCUUGUUAGGAAUAGCUGGAUUACCAUUCUCAUAUUCACUCCUGGCACCUUCUACUUCUUUUGGCAAAAGGGCCUUGAGUUCCUCUUCAAAAGCUCCAAUUUUUUGGAAAAUUGAUGUGCUUGAAUUCUUCUCCUUUUCACCAUUCAUCAAGGCAUGAUCAACUAGUACUUGCCUUAGCUUUUCCAUUAAUGGGUAUGUUGCACUGCAAGGAUCAUCAGCGUAGGCGAACACGUAUUCCCUGUCAAUCACUUUGAGAAGGUCCUUUUCACAAAAUCUUGAUGGGUGGAGCUCGCCAUUGAAGCCCAUUGUUAGGACUCUCUUUGCAACUUGACUUACUGU